This 466-nucleotide ribosomal RNA is filed under the name uncultured bacterium. RNAcentral describes it as "bacterial SSU rRNA". It matches the Rfam family "Bacterial small subunit ribosomal RNA", at positions 330 to 794 of the family's 1533-position model. The record is from RNAcentral.
UCCAGACUCCUACGGGAGGCAGCAGUGAGGAAUAUUGGUCAAUGGCCGAGAGACUGAACCAGCCAAGUCGCGUGAGGGAUGACGGCCCUACGGGUUGUAAACCUCUUUUGUCGGGGAGCAAAGAGAGUCACGUGUGGCUCAUUGAGAGUACCCGAAGAAAAAGCAUCGGCUAACUCCGUGCCAGCAGCCGCGGUAAUACGGAGGAUGCGAGCGUUAUCCGGAUUUAUUGAGUUUAAAGGGUGCGCAGGCGGAGGUGCAAGUCAGUGGUCAAAUUGCGGGGCUCAACCCCGUACUGCCGUUGAAACUGCAUCCCUUGAGUGCGCGAGAAGUAUGCGGAAUGCGUGGUGUAGCGGUGAAAUGCAUAGAUAUCACGCAGAACUCCGAUUGCGAAGGCAGCAUACCGGCUCCAUACUGACGCUGAGGCACGAAAGCGUGGGGAUCGAACAGGAUUAGAUACCCGGGUACA